ACUAACGAAGCAAUCGCUGCCAUUUAGGUAGAGGAAAGUCCAUGCUCACACUUUCUGCGAUGAAAGUAGUGUUUAUGCUGGUUUAAUAAAUAAAGCCAGGGGAAGACGGCAGUAACUAAUCCUAAGUUUUUUAAAAAUAUGGAUGAGGACUCUAAGGUGCAACAGUGACGAAGUUUUAUGGAAACAUAAAAGUGGAACGAUGUAAACCCCAUAAGUGAGAAACCCAAAAUAUGGUAGGGGAGCCCAAAGCGUGACAAAAUGAAGGCAACAGGGAGGCAUUUGCCUAGAUAAAUGAUUGCUACCUGUAAACAGGAACAGAACAUGGCUUAUAGUU
This 334-nucleotide RNase P RNA is filed under the name Erysipelotrichia bacterium. RNAcentral's name for it is "RNase P RNA component class B". It matches the Rfam family "Bacterial RNase P class B". Rfam says of the family: Ribonuclease P (RNase P) is a ubiquitous endoribonuclease, found in archaea, bacteria and eukarya as well as chloroplasts and mitochondria. Its best characterised activity is the generation of mature 5'-ends of tRNAs by cleaving the 5'-leader elements of precursor-tRNAs. Cellular RNase Ps are ribonucleoproteins. Lineage: Bacteria; Bacillati; Bacillota; Erysipelotrichia. The record is from RNAcentral.